Ctenopharyngodon idella (grass carp) is the source of this 13455-nucleotide RNA transcript. It is a transcript of the gene named stonustoxin subunit beta-like, with no coding region annotated. The record is from RefSeq and is a predicted model, not a curated record. Lineage: Eukaryota; Metazoa; Chordata; Actinopteri; Cypriniformes; Xenocyprididae. The transcript is spliced from 5 exons.
GACAAUUUACUGAAGACAGAGUUCUCCACACUUACAAAGACUGUAGGAAACGAGUAAGAGAUCCAGCCUCAAACUAACGUAGAAUACAGAAACACUAGUACUUACAGUUGAAUAGAUAAUCAUUUCUACAGGUUCAGAUAGGUUAAUAGUACAGAUAAUUCUAGCAGCAUCUGAAUAUGGUCUUCAGUUCUUUACACAAAUGAAGUCAUUUAAAGAUAUUAUCUGUGCCACUUUCCAUUCUGUGUACCUAAGAAACUUUGGUAAGGUCACAGGUGAGACAUCACGUCCAGAAGGACUCUUCUCAUCUGAGCCACUGUUGAAUUCUCCUGGAGAAUAUUGCUUUAGCAAAUAUAUCCAUAUUUGACUCAAACAUGGGUUGAAACAACCCAGCCUUUUGUAGAGUGUGAAAACUACAUCCACACAGAGCACUGAAAUAAACUUCUACACAUGAUUCAUAGUCAAGUGUGUGGAUACAUGUAAUGUGUUAUUGACCUUCAUGACCUUAGACACAGCUGUCUUUACAUGUCUCAAACAGCCAUCAUAAGGGCAGAAUAAUAAGAGUUCAAACUUAGUUCUUUCUACAAAAUAUGACUCCUGGUUAAUGUACUUGUAUGAGCAAAUUAGGGCCCGUCCACACGGAGAUGUGUUUAGCUGUAUACUGUAAGGAACCCCCCAUCGGCCCAAAAACGGAAUCCGACGGCCUGGGCGAAGGUUAACACGUGUAUGUCUUUUCAGCACCCUUGUGAAGUUCACUUAAUUUCACUCGUUUAAUCUGACUCCAAUUUCAAAUGAUUAUUAGUCUUAGGUUGUGUUUACAAUUAGAAAUGAAUCAUUGGUUAUGUAUUAAUUUAGAUAUUUGAUUAUUCUAGGUAUCCCAUACUUUCAAUUAUUCGUUCAUUACGGACCCAUAUCACUUAGAAAAGUCACUUCGGCCGAUUUAGUGCAUUUCACGAUCACAAACUCGCCAGUUCUGAUUCUUAGUCAGAGGGUGCAGAGUUUACUAAUGCAUUUGAGUCGAACCGCCACAUGCUUCUUCAUACAAAAACACAGUUUUCUUAGUCAUGAUACUGCUGUAAUGAAUCGUCACAUCGGCUGGGAUCCAUUUGCAUGCUUUAUUGAACAAGAGCGUAGUCGUACAGGCAGGGUAGAUCAGGAGCAAACAGGUAUGAUAUAGGGCAGGCAGAAUUGUAGACAGAUAACAGGCAAUAGUCAGGGCUGGCAGAUAACACUCACUGAUCAGGAUACAAAGCACACAUCAGGGACAGGCAGCAGAGGUUCGUAAACGAUAAACAACAGAAUCAGCAACGGGUAAUCAGUCAGACAGAAUAAUAACGCUCAGAAUUGUACACCACUGCAAUACAAGACUUCGCGACUGACUGUGGGAAACGUGAGUCCUUAUAUAGUCCAGUGAAUGAGCUACAGCGGGCAGGUAAUUAGUCCGGGGUGAAGGCUGAUGGGAAAUGUAGUGUAUGUGUAAAAAAGCCCAUGUUCAGUUUGUGUUCUUUUCUUAUAAGGGCUGUACAGCUGUUAUGUUGGUCAUUGAUUUGAAUUGAGAGGGCGUGGCUUGUUUGGCGGUCGCGCGAGAGCGGAUUAGUUUCAAUGCGUGAUCAGCAGAGUGAAAGCAUAGGUCCUGCAGUCUUCUCUGAAAAGCAGCAAAAUUAUGCAAAUGAAGAUCUUUUCUGUAGCGACUUCACUUUGUGAACUGCAGGGGGAAUAUUUGUGAUCUCGAUUGGCAGUGGAUGAUGCUUAAUUGUCUCAGACUUCUCGUUGAAGUUUCCUUCAUGACGAUUCUGGAAUGUGCGUCAUUGAAGACCGUGAGUUUCAUUUUGAGUGUUCAUUAUAUUAUUAUUAUGCCAUUUAUUCACUGUUUAACUUGAUAUACCGCUGCUAGAUUAUAAUUUAUGUAAAUGAGUGUGUUUCCUUGAUUAUGUGAAGUAUAGUAUUUUUAUGAUGGCGAGAAUGAUCGGCAAUUAUACAACUACAAUGACGCAGCAAUUUCUGUUGUGCUGUUAAUGUCAUCGCACAUUUACGCAGUUUUCUGUUACUGAUUAAGUUUAUUUGCUUAUUAUAGAACCACAUUUAGAGUCAUAUACAGCAACGGGAUAAAUCAAUAAAGCACAUAGACUUUGCAAUCUUCAUCGCCGACGAUACAUCGUGCAUCAGGGCACCUGAGACUGCAGCUUAACGACCAGCUUCACAUCGCUAUCCUGACAUCUGAGCGCCUUAAAGAACUGCAGAGACCAACACGGACUGUUGCACUCAUUGUUUUCACUACAUAUUUGUGAAACCAGCCUCCAUCUGUAUCCUUGAAAUCCAAAUCUGUUAAAUAAUUCAGUUUAUUAUUUUGCGUAGGCCUACGCUCUUUAUAUGUAUGUUUUAUUUGCUAUUUUGUGAUCUAUUUUGAUGGUGAAUAUGUACACAGUGUAUUUGAUUAUUGAUAUUCAACAUCUUAAAGAGUAAAUUAGUACAAUUUAGUACCACUGCCUCCUCUUUCUUUCUCUCGUGGCCAUUGGACAUCAGAUGUGGUAAUCGACUCUCUGAGACGGUUGGCACCGUAGUAGUAAUUGGUGCAAUACAGUUCCUUUCAAACAUAAAAUGGUCCUUCGAGCCGGAUGUUAUAACCGUCUCAGCAAUGAUGUCCAGACCCAGAGAGAAAAUGGUAGAAGAUGAGGUAGUCAGGCCACGCAGAAUUACUCGACAACCGUUGUAUCUUCAGGACUAUGAGGUUAGUUAUCCUCAGAGACAACUUACAUUUGCAGAUGAGCAGGUUAAUGCUGUAAUAAAUGCUGAUGUUCUCUCUUGUAUUCGUGAAAUGAGAGAGGAGAGCAAGCAGCUGCGGAAAGACAUGCAACGCAUUUCAGAUAUAAUCGCUAGUUCUCCUGUAUUAGCUCAGCCACAGGUUUCAUCACCUUCGCAGUGUUCUCUUAGUGCAGAGGAUGGGGUUUCUUCUACACCAGUAGCUACUAGCAUGUUGGUCUCACGGCAGAAAGAUCAAAAUCCUAAUCAAUCUGACCAUGUUCCAUUGGUGCCCCCUAGGGAUGAGUCCCUGCACGCACGUUGUGAUAGCCAUCAAGAUCUUAUUGAAGAUCUUACUAAUCAUCUAAAGAGAGUAGGCAGGCUGAGUGGUAGCCAUUUAGAUUCAGGCCAGUCAACACCUCAGUAUACCGAACCUCCUAAUAGUGAGAAUGACUCACCGCAACAUGUUCCUGGUCAUAGUGCUAAUGUCCAGGGUUUGCAGCAUCGUCAGUCUGAUUCUCCUUAUCGCCAGUCAGAGUAUGCCAUGUCAUUGCAACCCAGUCCUCCAUUCUACCCACCUCGAGAUUUCAGUCUUUCUCCUGCAGAUGCACAUACUUCUCAUUCACAUUCAGAGUAUCGGCCCAUUAGAAAUCUUCGUGAUCCAUGCUUUGGAGACAGACUGCAGCCUUCACAGAGAACUGCCUUAUCUGAUCAUUCCAAUCCUUAUCUUCAACGGGAUCGGAGAACGGACCACUAUCGUGGCAAUGAACGGCUGUAUCCCUCUGAUCGCUCAUACCCAUUUUUGGAUCAAGAUCUUAACCGUCCUUGGCACCCACUGCCAGUGCAAUAUCGUGGGCCUACACCCACAAUCCCAGAUUUCAUUCAUGAUGAUCCACGAGAGUUCGCCAGACUUAAGCUCGCUUUAGACAAUGUUCUGCCUGAUGAUGCUUCUGAAUCUUUUAAGUUUCAGAUACUCAUGGAUCAUUUGAAAUUGGAAGAUGCUUUACUUGUUGCAGAUUCUUACAGUCACAGCCGUUGUCCUUUCAGUGACACUAUGCAAGCUCUUACCGACAUGUAUGGACAACCACAUCAGCUGGCAUUGCAGCGGAUCACCAGCUUAAUGAACGGGCCUAAUGUCAAAAGUGGUGAUGUCAAAGCUUUCAAGGGAUUUGCUCUUCGUGUUCGGGCCUUAGUCGGAAUGUUGAAUCAGUUGGGUAGCCUAGGCUGGACUGAGUUGAAGUGUGGUUCUCAUGUAUCUCGCCUCUUAGCUAACUUACCUUAUGACCUAAGAGCCAACUUUAAGAGAUUUGUUAACCCCCUUCAUACUCCCAUUCCUACUUUACUUGAUUUGGCAGAUUGGCUUGAAUAUGAGGUUCGCGUGCAAGUGGAGGGAACCCAGUACGGUACAUACCCUGAUCAUGAGAAGCAUAGUUUCCGCAAAGAGAAGAAGCCUGGAUUCAUGCCACGAAAGCUGACCACUGUUCUGCAUGGGGGAGAACAGAAGCAAGUGCCAACUGAGAAUCCUAAGACGGGGACAGCGUCCUCUGAAAGGAUACAGGAGAAGCCCAAAAGGUAUUGUCCAUUCUGUGAUACCACUCAGCAUUACAUGAAUCAGUGCUCAAACUUUAAGCUCUUGAACAAGGAGCAAGUCGAGAAUUGGAUCAAGAUGGGCAAUAGAUGCUGGAGAUGUGGCCGAAGUCAUCAGACCUCAAAGUGUACUUUGAAAGCGAAGUGUAAGAAAUGUGAUAGGAGACAUCUUGAGGUUCUUCAUGAUGUUAAUGCCAAUUCUGAGUCUAGCAGGAGAGGCAACAUCAGAGAGUCAGAAGGGAGUGCAUGCCCCAUAAGUUCCACUUCCCAGACCUUGUAUCUUGACCGCCCCACAAGCGGAAAGCAAGUGUUACUUAAACUGAGUUGGGUUGUGAUUCAGAAUGGUGACAAGUCGCUAGAGACUUUUGCGGUACUGGACGACGGAUCCGAGCGAACGAUUCUGCUGCAUGAGGCCGCUCAACGUUUAGGCCUUCAAGGUACCGUUGAAGACCUAGCACUUCGUACUGUGAGGCAUGAGGUUCACACAAUCCGUGGAAGUUCGGUGUCCUUCUCUAUAGCUCCAGCCUCACAACCUGACAAAUCAUUCCCCAUUCAUAGAGCCUUUACGGCUAAAGAGCUGGGUCUUGUCCAACAUACUUAUCACAUCACUGAUUUGCAGCGCAAGUACCGCUAUCUUAGAGAUCUGCCCUUGCAUGAUAUCAAUCAAGCCCAACCAUUAGUGCUUAUUGGAUCAGACUAUCCACAUUUGAUCACGCCUGUGGAGCCAGUGAGAUUGGGGCCUAAAGGAGGACCAGCAGCUGUGCAUACAAGGCUUGGGUGGACGUUGCAAGGUCCAUCCAGGUUCCUUUCUCCUCGUCUUCGGCCGCAGGAGUGUCUCUUUGUUUCUUGUGUGACACCAGAUUCUGAACUCUUUAACCAGGUUGAAAGGCUGUGGAAACUGGACGUUCUGCCUUACCGGUCUGACAAGAUAGUCAGACGCUCACGACAAGAUGCAGAAGCCCUCCGCAUUCUGGAAGAGAAGACCAUCAGAAUUAAUGUGGAUGGAGUAAAUCGAUACGCUACCCCAUUACUCUGGAAAGAGUCACUUCCCCCAUUGAAUGCACCGAAGGAAGCUGUAAUGGCUCUCCUAUGUAGUACAGAGAGACGACUAUCCAGAGAGCCACAAAUGGCCACUAAUUACAAUGCUGAAAUUCAGAAGUUGCUGCAGGCAGGCUAUGUCACCCCACUAUCAUCUGAGGAGUGUGGAUUGAGUCCUCAUUCAUGGUACAUACCACACCAUAUGGUCCAUCAUAAUGGUAAGGACCGUAUUGUAUUCAAUUGCUCCUUCGAGUUCCAAGGCCAGUCUCUAAAUGAGUACCUCUUACCUGGGCCAACUCUUGGGGCAAGCUUGUUGGGAGUUCUCCUCCGCUUCAGGGAGCACCCUGUAGCUGUCUGUAGCGACGUGAGAGGAAUGUUUCAUCAAGUCCGUCUCCUUGAUGAAGACAAGCCUUUCCUCAGAUUUCUGUGGCGUAAUGGCAAUACUGCUGAGCCUCCAACAGUCUAUCAAUGGGAAGUAUUGCCCUUUGGAACCACCUGUAGUCCCUGUUGCGCUACAUUUGUCCUUCAGUCCCAUGUCGGGAACUACCUUCAACCCACAGACGAUGUGCGUCAAUCUGUUGAACGCAGUUUCUACGUAGACAACUGUCUAAAAAGUGUCCCAGAUGAAGCACAGGCUGAGAAACUAGUAAACAGACUACAGCACCAUCUAAUGGAGGGCGGAUUCGAGUUGCGACAAUGGGCCAGUAAUGUUCCUACGGUCAUUCGCCACUUUCCUUCUGAGCUGAAAUCCCAGAGCAGUGAAAUCUGGCUUAGUCAAGGAACAGCUAAUCCUCAGGAACGUACCCUUGGACUGAUCUGGCAUUGCAAAUCUGACACUUGGGCAUACAAACCAUAUCAGAAGGAGGAAGGUGAAACCACCAUGCGCAAGAUCUACCGCACACUUGCAAAGCAAUAUGAUCCCCUUGGGUAUUUGAUCCCUUUCACUACAAGGGCUAAGAUCAUUGUGCAGCUGCUCUGGGACAAGAAACGUGGCUGGGAUGAUCCUUGCCUCCCUGCUGAUUUACUUGCCGCUUGGCAGCAGUGGGAGAGUGAGCUCCCUCAGUUGUCCCAGAUCUCUCAGCCAAGAUGCUACAGCUCCAGCAUCCAGCAUGCAAUCAAGAGUCGCAGCGUUCAUGUAUUCUGCGAUGCAUCUGAGAGAGCCUAUGGCUCUGUAGCAUACCUGAGUACUGAGGAUGUUCAAGACAGUAUGAAUGUUAGUACUCAGGUGAGGGCUCCCUCCGAUGGCCAGAGGAGGGAGCUACGGAGUUCGUGACAACUGCAACUUGCUAAGCCAGUUGAUAGACAAAAUCAAAAAGUCCCAUGAUGUGCUCACAUGGUCCUUUCAUGGGCCUUUAGUUUGAAUCUAUCCUGACGCAGAUUUGCGGAAAUAUGAACUCCAAUAAUCUACUGGUCAUAAUGAUUUCAGAAGAAUCCAGAGUAAAUCAAAUAUAACAUUUUAUUUGUCAAGUAAAAAUGUAUCAUGCCAAUUACAUGGUUGGACAAUUAGAAGCCAAUUCAGAAAUAAUAAAUGCAUAACAUCAACUGAAAUGCACAUACACACAGUGAUGUGUGAGUGUCUUCAGACAUUCACCCAUCUUCUGCAUGGGGGCUUCUGGCUACAGAAGAUCCCCCAUGACUGCUUUGAACUUUACCUUAUAUACCAAGACCAGAACAAAAGGAUUGUACAUUUUUAUUACACUAACACCUGUUUUGGGGGGAGAGGAGUGGGUUUUCACCCUAGUCAGACACCUCUACAUCACGUAACAACAACAGUGGACUACAGCUUUUGUUAGUGCCGCAGAAGCUACUGAGCCUAUUAGCUUUACUAAAAUAAAGCUUUAUUUCUAAGCUUUACUAAAGUUUGUAUACAGCGCACAAGGUUUAUGCACAUGCUCCAAGUCUUAUUCUCCAUUUCUAGUGAAUCUAUGUGGCAGAAUUACAGCGCCACAUACUGAUCUGGCAUGUAUAUUACAUCGUUUUGAGUUGGUUUCAGUGGUUUCAGGUGUACGCAGAUAUUUCUGGAUAAAUACAUAAAGCAAAUCUGCCUGUGAAUAUUUUGUAUAACUACAAUAUAGAUAUGUUUAAAUCCAAGUAAUCACUUAUAUCAAUGUUAUAUAUAUCGUCAUAUUGUCCAGCCCUAAAACUUGUAUAGUUAUAAAGUAAAAUUUAUUCUCAGGAAGUCAGGCUAAAUGAGUAAACUUUUAUUACAUUCUUGACGUGGGUCAGAAUCUCAUAUACAAAAUACAGACAUUGAUGUGUCAGUUGUGGCUUAAAUCAGUGGUUCCCAAAGUGGGGAUCGCGAGAUGAUUUCCAGAAAUCAAAAAAAAAAUUUUUUUUUAUUAAUGAUUAGAAAUAGCAUAUUUUAUCAAUAAUUGUAAGAAAAAAAAUGCUAAAAAUAGUAGUUCUGUCAUGACAACUCUCGAGGGUUUGGCAUGGUAAUGGAUAUGACAAUGUAGAUAUAUUUGGCCUUGGCGGAAUAGAUCUGCUACACUGCUGCUGCUUUAUUGCUGCAGAGGGCAAGAUGAUGAUUCACCCUCACCCCCCAGCAGAUCUACCGCCACAACAUAUGUACUGCUGCUCCGAAGAGCCAUAGGAACUAUGCUGUAUGCUAUCUAUGUGUGCCUGGCCCAUUUUGCCACAACUAAGUUAUUCUGGGCUGUAAGGCUUGGCUCUAGUGGCCUAUUGGACUAUGUGUGCCUGGGCUACCACACCAGUGGCUUAGCUCUAGUGGCCUAUGUCUAUGUGUGUCUGAGCCAAAAGGCUCAAACAUACCAAUUAGAAUGCGCAUUAUGUGUGGCUUUAACAAAUGGUAAAACGUUGCAGGCUAAUAGAGAUAAGAAACCCUCCACAACCACCUGAGCAAAUAAUAGUAUAAUGAUGUACCAUUGUUUGAUAAUGUCCUUGUCAAACCCUGUAUACUCCUAAGAAAAGUAAACUCAUUCGGAUGAACAGGAAAUGAAUGAGCAUAACUCCAACAUGCAUCAGCUGACCCAGCCCGAAACACAUAGGUACAUGAAACAUCAGCCUUGAAGAGUUGUUGAAGUUGAGCAAUACUGUGAAACAUUUAGAUUUACAUGUUAUAAUAUGAAUGAGAUUUCAAUAGAAACUCAAUAUUUUGAAUUAAUAUUCUAUCUUGUCUGAGUUGCAUGCUAAUGCAUUAAUAUUAUAUCUUUGUCCCAUAUGCAAUGGUUAUGUCAGUCGAUGCAAUUUGACAGUGAAUCCCAUAACAUCACUUCACAGCGUGCAACCGACUGUCGGUCCUCACAGAUAAACACAAAUGAAAUGGCCACGAGAGCGUGUAGAACGUUCACUUAUCUCAGUAGCGAACUCAAAAGUUCUGCUACGUAAAUGAGCUGACCACCACACUGCAAAGUGUCUCCUAUUUACGCUCCUGUUAAUGAAUACCUCGGCAUUUUAAGCAGAGAGCAAGAUUUCUGACAGACAUGCAGCCACUGCUCAGAUCAACAAAGCGUGUCCAUAAUUCAGCCACACUGCCUGCCGCUGCAACACGCCGCAUAGAAAAUACCUAAUGUUAUCCAGAGCGCAACACAAAUUAUACUAUACAGAUUAUGACACAAAUACAUAAUAAGCAUCAACUGAGGCACUCUUGCUUCGUUUGAAGAAUACAUGGAACUGCCUUGGCACGCUCUAAGGUAAGCAGAAAUUAUAAGUAUCAUUCUACGUGAAAUCCAUUAAUUAAAUGGCUUACUGACCUUGCAAAAUCACUGUUCGUCCUGUAGUAUGAAAAAGUAUAUGCCCAAUAAAAUCUGAAUACAGCUGCUCACGUACUUAGUAUACAAAUAAAUAGAAAACAUUGUUUGCAUUUUAAUCAUGACAUAUUCACAUUGCAUGAUCAACUCAUUAGCCGACACAAACUCCUCUCACUCAAUAGCGACAGGUAACUUUAGGCCUGCACGCACCGAACGUCUGCUGCGUUCUAUGUUGUUGAUAUUCGUUCAUUGCUAUCUGAAUUAGUUCUCCAUACUGCUGCUGCACAAAAUAUUUGCUGUAGCUUUGUUAGAAUAUAAAUACAAAAGCGAAUCCUGUUCCAUUUAAAGUUCAGCAAGCUUGUCUCUGUAUCCUUAUAAAACAUGCAUGCGCUAGCUGCUAAUAUAGUAAUUCUCUAUAAGCAUUAAACAGACUGUUGAUAUGACAUAGAACUGAUAAAUCAGAUUAUGCACAAACGCACAGUGAUAGUAUAAGAACCCAUGUACUUAUCUGAAGCACGCUGCACUGCUAAGCAAUGCUAAAUCAUGUAUUUAAAGAUUAAGCAUGCAGCUCAUUGGCUACUAAUACAGCAGGAACCAAUCAUCUGUGACCUAUAGAUAAUGAUGUGAUAAUUAGCAGGUUGUGUUAAAGGACCUAUUAGCCUGCCCAUUAGAGUUUCAUGCCAGAACUUUGUAUUUCAAUAAAAAAACAAAAAACAAAUAAAAAACAGUUAUCAACCUUUUGAUUUUCCUUCCCCUCGACCGUGACUCCUGAGGUGAUUAUGACAGAUUAACGACAUAUUAACAACAGCAUCAGUUGUAGCAGGUCAAUUUACAGCACCAUGUUAAACAUGCCGACAAGUGCAUGUAGGUAAUUCUUUAGGUUUUGGAUAUUAUUAUUUUUGUUGAAAUGAAACGUUGGUUAAUAUCGACCAAAGACAACGCAGGGAGGAGAGCGGAGAAGCAGUCAUGCCUUUGCAGAAGAUACGCGGAGCAGCACGUGCUACUGUGCUUUCACAUAUGCCGCGUUUGCAGUACGCAACUGAUCCAUGGCCGUUUAUCACAAACACAACAUUUACUUAUUUUUAUUUCAAAUCCAGAAGUUGUUACUGAACAUGGCUUGUCAGCAUUGCGAUUCUCUUUGUAUACACUGUAUUUCAUAGAUGUAUUUCGUUUAAACGCACUACAUUUAAACGUUUUAUUCAAUUUAUUACUUUAUAUUUAUAUAGUGUCAUUUGAUUUAUAUUUUACGUUGCUCACGCAAGUGGCAAAACAUUUAAACAUAAGCUUUAUGUGAAAAUCACAAACACCUUAAAUUAAAACUUAAAAUAGACAAAAACAGGCGACUCUCUUUUUUUCCCCUUUCCUUUUAAAUCUUUUUACAAGAAAUCCCCCAGGUCAUAAAAAAAAAACUUUGUUUUUCCACCUUCAUGAAGAGAUGAGUGCUAUCUUUAUGUCUUCUUGUUCACCUAAAUGCAAGGUAAGGUGCCAUUUUCCUUGCUUUACCCGAGGCAAAAAAAAUUGUUGUGUAACAGAGACUUUAAAUUAUAUGCAUCUGUGGUGAAAUUAGACCUUUAUCAGUCCAUUCAAAUGUUUCAAAUACAUAGUCAAAAUAUACAUUAUAUUUAACGUAAAUAAAUAAACUAACGUUAAACAAAAUGCGUGUUUUUGGGGGGGUUGACCAGCGUACAAAAUGUGAGACAAAGGCGCUUCCUUGAUUGUCUCAUUAAGAUGACGCUGAAAUGCAUUCGAGAACAAGAGUUUUUUUGAGCCCUACACCCUUCAUCCCUUCGAAGCUCUCACUCCGGAGGGUAAACCCUUUGAAGGGAUUAGGGCAUAGGGAUCAGCCCUUCUGAAUGGAACACAGUGAGGGUUAAUCUUCAGAAGAGAAGUAAAUUGCGCUGCUCUCUUGUGAGAAAUGAAUCAAACGGACGCUCUCCAUUCUCCGUGUGAUUGGCUGUUUGCCGCACGUGUCACACUUUCAGGUUCACGCGCUUAAAGGCAGGAACACACCAAGCCGACGGUCGGCCGUCAGGCAGUUUUUGUUUGUCAGCCGACUAAGUUUUCUCAGUGUGUUCCUCACUGUCGGCUGAAGUUGGUCCCCUUCGGCUUGCUUUUGGCCGAUUCGACAUGUUGAAUCAGCGUCAGAGCUCGUCGGUCUGUCGGUCCAUCUGAUCAUUCUGAUUGGCUGUUCAGCUACUGCCACCUGCUGGUACGGAAAGGCAUUUCAUCUUACGCAGGCACAGAACGGACGUGCUACUUCGCUGUCGGCUGUUGGUUUGGUGUGUCAGGCCAACUUUGGAUCCAGAUGCUGCUGACGUGACCCAACCCCGCAGUCUAAUUUCAUCGCCACUAGUUCGUCAGCGUCAGCUUGGUGUGUUCCUGCCUUAAGAGUUAAUCAAAAAAUCUGGAUUAAACCUGAGUUGACACAGAAAGUUUAUACCGAGCGUUGUGCAAAAUCUGAUCCUGAAUUAAACCAGCUUGGAUUUAUCUGGAUUUUCAACUCUAAAUCUACUCUGAAACUCAGAGUUUGUUCAACUAGGUUCAUGCAACAGGCCACAGCUGGUGAUGCUGACUUUAUGGCAUCAGAUACAGGUCACUUUACUCACAGCUGAUUGGUCGAGUUUGGGUUUGUGAUCUCUAACCCAGAAUAAAUCCUGCUCCAGAGCAGAUUAGCCGUGUAGCGUAAGUUACCAUAUCAAUGAAACCCGCUAAAACCAAUCCACCUUCAUGAGCCUGAAAAACAGAGUUUGCUCAAAUUAAUCUUGAACUUACUUGUGUAGAAACUGAAACCAUCUUCGUGCAACAGGCCACAGGAACACAGUAACACAAUGAAAGUAAACAGACUCAUAGCAUUAUGAUUUCCAAUUCAUUAUAUAAUCCAGUAAGAGGGAUUGUAAAUCCACUCCAGCAGUUACUGAGAACUGUCUGAUUGACUGACUAAAAACUGUAAUGAGUUUAGUUAUGAAGAAGACAAUAUAAAACUAGUGUAAUAUUAGUGUGAUAUGUAUUGUGAAAAGCGCUAUACAAAUAAAUGUGAAUUGAAUUGAAUAUUACAUUAGAAUUGACACAGUGGCGUUAUUAUUGACUGGGUUCCUCCUGUUGUAUUGCAGGUUUCCUCUCACAAAUAUGAACUCUAUGCCAUAGUAAACCAUUCUGGCAAAUAUGAUCAUAGUGGACACUAUUAUGCUGGCUCAGAUCGUAAUGGAUACUAUUAUGCAGACAUCAAAUGUGAAGAUGGAAUCUGGCGUCAAUUUAUUGACCACAGAGUCUUAAAGACUCCCAGUGACGAGCACCCCACACUCAGGAGUUUAUAUGCCUAUCUACUCGUGUACAGACGCAGAGAGUAAAACUCCCAGUGACGAGCGCCCCACACUCAGGAGUUCAGAAGCCCAUCUACUCGUGUUCAGACAAGUAUAAUCAGCAUGCAGCAUUCAAUAAAUCCAGUAAUACAUGACUUCAGAUUCACAAGAAAACACAUUUAUAAAUCAGCCUAGAAAUCUUGUUCACUGGCAAAUAUACAUUGCAGAAAAGUACCAAAUCAAAACUCAUUUCAUAUUUGAUGACCUUUACACAGUUAUUGAACUGAACUGAAUCAACAUUGAACUGAAUUGAUCUGAAUAAUAACUCUAUUGUCUUCUGUAGAGCUGAUCUACAGCUGAAUCUGAAUUAUUCUCAUAUUUGAUGAAGUUUGAUUCAGUUAUUUUCCUCUUUAUUACUGUGAAGUUGAUUUAAAACAAUCUGUAACAUGAAACAUAUUCAUGCAUUUAUUCAUCUUUCAUGUUAAUCAUUUAAUGAUUUAUGGCUUAUGAUUUUUCAACAUUAUCUUUGAUUUCAUAUACUCAUGUACUCCUACUCCAUAUAUUAAUCCUCAUCAUAUUUUCAAGUAUUUACUCUUUAUUGUACUCAUGGUUACGGUUAUUCUUUCAUCUUUAAGAGAAUGUAUUGUGCUGUAUUCAGUUGUUCUUCAAGUGUUUCAGUGUUCAGGUCAUGUCGACACGUUUGUGGUUAGAUAUUGGACGCCUGCCAUGUACUGCAGAAGUGAUGAUCAUUUUGAACUUGAUGUAUCUUCGUAUCAAAAUAUGUCUGUUUCCAUCUCUGCAGACAUGAGAUAAUGCAAGAUCUGCUUCUGCUUCUUCUCUUCUACCUCUCAUUUCAUUCUGCAAAUAUCUUCCUUCUUCUGUUCUCCCUUUCUCUAUAUUCUGAUCUUCACUCUUCAUCUGUUCCAUACAAUACUCUGGAUUCUAUUAUAAACUAUUAUUUACUUCAGAAAUUUCUUUGUGUCUAUAAUGUGUACUUUAUUAUUCCUUAUUCAGAUUUGAUCUCUGACAUAAUCAUUGCUGGACUGUCUGGAUAUAUAAAUAAAUAAAACAUAAAUAAAAGUGAA